RNAcentral lists this ribosomal RNA (1436 nucleotides) under uncultured organism. Its description in RNAcentral is "16S ribosomal RNA". It matches the Rfam family "Bacterial small subunit ribosomal RNA". The record is from RNAcentral.
CAGGCUUAACACAUGCAAGUCGAGGGGCAGCAUGGUCUUAGCUUGCUAAGGCCGAUGGCGACCGGCGCACGGGUGAGUAACGCGUAUCCAACCUGCCUUACACUCUUGGACAGCCUUCUGAAAGGGAGAUUAAUACAAGAUGUUAUCAUGAGUAAGCAUUUUCGCAUGAUUAAAGGUUUACCGGUGUAAGAUGGGGAUGCGUUCCAUUAGAUAGUAGGCGGGGUAACGGCCCACCUAGUCUUCGAUGGAUAGGGGUUCUGAGAGGAAGGCCCCCCACAUUGGAACUGAGACACGGUCCAAACUCCUACGGGAGGCAGCAGUGAGGAAUAUUGGUCAAUGGACGAGAGUCUGAACCAGCCAAGUAGCGUGAAGGAUGAAGGUUCUAUGGAUUGUAAGCUUCUUUUAUACGGGAAUAAACGAAUCCACGCGUGGAUUUUUGCAUGUACCGUAUGAAUAAGGAUCGGCUAACUCCGUGCCAGCAGCCGCGGUAAUACGGAGGAUCCGAGCGUUAUCCGGAUUUAUUGGGUUUAAAGGGAGCGUAGAUGGGUUGUUAAGUCAGUUGUGAAAGUUUGCGGCUCAACCGUAAAAUUGCAAUUGAUACUGGCAGUCUUGAGUACAGUUGAGGUAGGCGGAAUUCGUGGUGUAGCGGUGAAAUGCUUAGAUAUCACGAAGAACUCCGAUUGCGAAGGCAGCUUACUAACCUGUAACUGACAUUGAUGCUCGAAAGUGUGGGUAUCAAACAGGAUUAGAUACCCUGGUAGUCCACACGGUAAACGAUGAAUACUCGCUGUAGGCGAUAUACAGUCUGCGGCCAAGCGAAAGCAUUAAGUAUUCCACCUGGGGAGUACGCCGGCAACGGUGAAACUCAAAGGAAUUGACGGGGGCCCGCACAAGCGGAGGAACAUGUGGUUUAAUUCGAUGAUACGCGAGGAACCUUACCCGGGCUUAAAUUGCAACCGAAUAUGGCGGAAACGCUAUAGCUAGCAAUAGCGGUUGUGAAGGUGCUGCAUGGUUGUCGUCAGCUCGUGCCGUGAGGUGUCGGCUUAAGUGCCAUAACGAGCGCAACCCUUGCCGAUAGUUACUAACAGGUCAUGCUGAGGACUCUGUCGGGACUGCCAUCGUAAGAUGUGAGGAAGGUGGGGAUGACGUCAAAUCAGCACGGCCCUUACGUCCGGGGCUACACACGUGUUACAAUGGGGGGUACAGAGGGCUGCUACCACGCAAGUGGAUGCCAAUCCCAAAAACCUCUCUCAGUUCGGAUUGAAGUCUGCAACCCGACUUCAUGAAGCUGGAUUCGCUAGUAAUCGCGCAUCAGCCACGGCGCGGUGAAUACGUUCCCGGGCCUUGUACACACCGCCCGUCAAGCCAUGGGAGCCGGGGGUACCUGAAGUGCGUAACCGCAAGGAGCGCCCUAGGGUAAAACUGGUGACUGGGGC